Homo sapiens (human) is the source of this 255-nucleotide long non-coding RNA. RefSeq lists it as uncharacterized. Lineage: Eukaryota; Metazoa; Chordata; Mammalia; Primates; Hominidae. The record is from RefSeq and is a predicted model, not a curated record. The transcript is spliced from 3 exons.
UUCUCCCACCUCAGCCUCCUGAGUAGCUGGGAUUACAGACAUGGUAUCUUGGAUAACACCUGACGAUAAUAACAAAGGAACUGUAAUUCUGCAGCCUUGGCUUGACUUUUUUUAUGCCUUAGGGAAUGAAUAAGUACGUAAAUGAGAAAUGAAUCAUGAUAGUCACUUGUCAAUCCAAAAAUAUGUGAGCAAGAGCCAUGUGAAAAUAAUAAAAGCAAGAUAUUUUCUGGCAAAUUUAUCUUGGGGUUAAUGCUG